This 344-nucleotide ribosomal RNA is filed under the name uncultured eukaryote. RNAcentral describes it as "SSU rRNA". It matches the Rfam family "Eukaryotic small subunit ribosomal RNA", at positions 567 to 908 of the family's 1831-position model. The record is from RNAcentral.
CCAGCAGCCGCGGUAAUUCCAGCUCCAAUAGCGUAUAUUAAUUCUGUUGUGGUUAAAAAGCUCGUAGUUGGAUCUCGGCGGGCAGGGGGCGGUCCGUUUUCUGACGCGACUGCCCCGUUUGCUCGUGUUGACUCCGGCGGAGUCGGCCGGGUGCUCUUUGCUGAGUGUCCGGUCGGGCCGCCAGGUUUACUUUGAAAAAAUUAGAGUGCUCCAAGCAGGCCGCAUACGCCUGAAUACUCGUGCAUGGAAUAAUGGAAUAGGACGUCGUUCCUAUUUUGUUGGUUUUCGGGAAUCGACGUAAUGAUUAAUAGGGACAGCCGGGGGCAUUAGUAUUCAGACGACAG